AACCCGGUGAUCUAUCCAUGGGCAGGUUGAAGGUUGGGUAACACUAACUGGAGGACCGAACCGACUAAUGUUGAAAAAUUAGCGGAUGACUUGUGGAUGGGGGUGAAAGGCCAAUCAAACCGGGAGAUAGCUGGUUCUCCCCGAAAGCUAUUUAGGUAGCGCCUCGUGAACUCAUCUUCGGGGGUAGAGCACUGUUUCGACUAGGGGGUCAUCCCGACUUACCAACUCGAUGCAAACUGCGAAUACCGAAGAAUGUUAUCACGGGAGACACACGGCGGGUGCUAACGUCCGUCGUGAAGAGGGAAACAACCCAGACCGCCAGCUAAGGUCCCAAAGUCAUGGUUAAGUGGGAAACGAAGUGGGAAGGCUCAGACAGCCAGGAUGUUGGCUUAGAAGCAGCCAUCAUUUAAAGAAAGCGUAAUAGCUCACUGGUCGAGUCGGCCCGCGCGGAAGAUGUAACGGGGCUAAACCAUGCACCGAAGCUGCGGCAGCGACACAAAGUGUUGUUGGGUAGGGGAGCGUUCUGUAAGCCUGCGAAGGUGUACUGUGAGGUAUGCUGGAGGUAUCAGAAGUGCGAAUGCUGACAUAAGUAACGAUAAUGCGGGUGAAAAACCCGCACGCCGGAAGACCAAGGGUUCCUGUCCAACGUUAAUCGGGGCAGGGUGAGUCGACCCCUAAGGCGAGGCUGAAAAGCGUAGUCGAUGGGAAACGGGUUAAUAUUCCCGUACUGGUGGUAACUGCGAUGGGGGAACGGAGAAGGCUAGGUUGUCCGGGCGACGGUCGUCCCGGUUCAAGCAGGUAGGCAGAGUGAUUAGGCAAAUCCGGUCACUUAAUGCUGAGAUGUGAUGACGAACCACCAAGGUGGUGAAGCAAUUGAUGCCCCGCUUCCAGGAAAAGCCUCUAAGCUUCAGGUUACCAACAAUCGUACCCCAAACCGACACAGGUGGUCAGGUAGAGAAUACUCAGGCGCUUGAGAGAACUCGGGUGAAGGAACUAGGCAAAAUGGUGCCGUAACUUCGGGAGAAGGCACG
RNAcentral lists this ribosomal RNA (1031 nucleotides) under Proteus mirabilis. RNAcentral's name for it is "partial 23S ribosomal RNA". It matches the Rfam family "Bacterial large subunit ribosomal RNA", at positions 719 to 1750 of the family's 2925-position model. The record is from RNAcentral. Lineage: Bacteria; Pseudomonadati; Pseudomonadota; Gammaproteobacteria; Enterobacterales; Morganellaceae.